This 713-nucleotide ribosomal RNA is filed under the name uncultured beta proteobacterium. Its description in RNAcentral is "bacterial SSU rRNA". It matches the Rfam family "Bacterial small subunit ribosomal RNA", at positions 24 to 732 of the family's 1533-position model. Lineage: Bacteria; Pseudomonadati; Pseudomonadota; Betaproteobacteria. The record is from RNAcentral.
UCAGAUUGAACGCUGGCGGCAUGCCUUACACAUGCAAGUCGAACGGCAGCACGGGAGCAAUCCUGGUGGCGAGUGGCGAACGGGUGAGUAAUAUAUCGGAACGUGCCCAGUCGUGGGGGAUAACGUAGCGAAAGCUACGCUAAUACCGCAUACGAUCUAUGGAUGAAAGCGGGGGAUCGCAAGACCUCGCGCGAUUGGAGCGGCCGAUAUCAGAUUAGGUAGUUGGUGGGGUAAAGGCCCACCAAGCCGACGAUCUGUAGCUGGUCUGAGAGGACGACCAGCCACACUGGGACUGAGACACGGCCCAGACUCCUACGGGAGGCAGCAGUGGGGAAUUUUGGACAAUGGGCGCAAGCCUGAUCCAGCAAUGCCGCGUGCAGGAUGAAGGCCUUCGGGUUGUAAACUGCUUUUGUACGGAACGAAACGGCGAGCUCUAAUACAGUUUGCUAAUGACGGUACCGUAAGAAUAAGCACCGGCUAACUACGUGCCAGCAGCCGCGGUAAUACGUAGGGUGCAAGCGUUAAUCGGAAUUACUGGGCGUAAAGCGUGCGCAGGCGGUUAUGUAAGACAGAUGUGAAAUCCCCGGGCUUAACCUGGGAACUGCAUUUGUGACUGCAUAGCUAGAGUACGGUAGAGGGGGAUGGAAUUCCGCGUGUAGCAGUGAAAUGCGUAGAUAUGCGGAGGAACACCGAUGGCGAAGGCAAUCCCCUGG